Molecule: long non-coding RNA, 5361 nt
Organism: Hemicordylus capensis (graceful crag lizard)
Lineage: Eukaryota; Metazoa; Chordata; Lepidosauria; Squamata; Cordylidae
Exons: 2
Source: RefSeq, a predicted model, not a curated record
GGUGGGGUGGGGGGGUCUUUUCUUUUUUUCCUUUUCUUUUCUUGCCGAUGCACCGCACAAUCUUUUAAGACUGGGCCCUGGGGAGGGUGCACAAGUUGGAUGCUACUACCCUAGGUUCUCGCUUGCCCUGUGGAAGAGCCUCUCCUGGCUCCUCUUCAGCCUAGGCACUCCCUAGAGAAGGGCGUUGAUGUUCGCCUCCAGUCACCUGCCCCUCCCUCUCCACCACUGCCUUCGCGCAACACCUCCUAUUUGAACACAGGGGCGGAGGCGGGGGACGCGGGGAGUUCCUGUCCUCCGCCAGAGGGCGCCGAAGUGAAGCUCCCACGAUCCCUUCCAGGUCAAAGGCCAGAACGUUGGGACUGGUGGUUGUUGUACGAUUAUUGGCGACAACCAGUUGUGCUACCAUAAUGGCCUCUUGGCAAAACGUGGCAUCCAUAUGCAGCCCCGGCCUUCCUUUUCCUACGCACCAUUUUAGGAGUUCUGCCCAAAAUGUGUAUACAGUCCACUUAACGUUUAUUUUCCCUUGUUUCACUUGUAGCAUUCGAAGGUGAGAAGAGUCCUCAAACAGUGAUGACGUUUCCCGUCCACAUUACUCAAGGGAAGUUUAUUGAUAUACUCAGUGUUAUUUAAUAAUAAUGUAUGCAGCAUUUUUAAUGUGCAUGGUUCUUCACAAUCUUCAAUAAGGAUUAAAAACCACAUACAGAAAUCCCACAAGAAUGUUAUUAUUACUUGAAGAGGAGGAAGUAUUUUUUUUUAAAAAUCUUGACUCCCGAGGUUUCUUUUUCUCACACAAAAUUGACAGAAGUCGCUCUAUUCAAUGAGCAGAAAAGGGCCAUUAAAACCAAGUCCAAAAGAGUUGUCAUCCAUAUUAUUAAUACUGUCUCCAGUAGCAUUUAAUUAAUUGCACUACUUCUAAUAAUGCAGCCAGCCUUUUUAUUUCCUGCUCUUUUUAAUGUGUGGUGCAGAUGUACCACUCUUUCUAAUCCUGGCUGAACUGAUUGAUCUGUGCAAACUUUGCAUGAGUAACCAUGAACAGAAGCUUUAGGAAUCCUGGGUUUGCUUUGAAGCCAUGAUUUCCACCACCCCCCCACCCUUUCCUCUGGAUUAUAUGAGCUCUUAAAAUAUGCAACCUGCACCCCCCUCUCUUUAGCAUUUGACAUGGUGUCAGUAGGAAAAGUUGGAGUGCCGGUGGGAUUUUUGUUUUGCUUUGUUUUAAAUGUUGCACUAGAGGGGAGGGAUUUGACAUCUCAUUCUUCCUCUUGUCACUCUGAAAGGGACAAGAAAUGGACCAUGCCAGAGACAGAGGACACUUGAGGCAGAGACUGGGCCUGGAAAUUCUGAAUUGAAGGCCUUUUCCAUGAUUAGCACACAACUGAGGAAGCUUUGUACUUUCACUUAACAUAUCAACUGUGUGUGUGUGUGUGUGUGUGUGUGUGUGUAAUGCUUCCUGCUAGGUAUAACAAUGCAUGCCUGAUUUGCAUGGAUUUUCAGUAAUUUCCAAUAACAUGAUUAACAUAGGACCCCAAAACAGCCAUUCCUUUUCAAUGGCAUUUUAUCUUUAAGCAUGUUAUCAGAAAUAAGUGGAAACUUGCUUCAGAUAAGCAUCAUGUAUACAAGCCCCCUACAGGUUCUACUUUGGAAAAUGCACACCCAAAGCCAUCUUACUAGUCUACACAUUUUAGAUGUUGUUUGCAGUGGCAGCCAUAUAUAACCACAUAGCAUAGAGAUGGCAUCUUCUAACCCAUUACACAAUUUACCAUAUGGAUCCUCUACAUUAUGAGUAGCCACAUCAGUACCAUUUGUUCUUAGUGACUGCUGGCACUAGCAAAGAGACUCAGCAGAGAAUCCAUGUGACAAGCAAUGCCGCAUUAUCAUCUUCUCUGCUGUAUCACAGGGACAGUUUUGAUGCCUCAGUAAGGAUUAUAACAUGGAGAUUGUCCUUAAUGCUCUAGGACCCUAGAAUCUCCAGAAUCUCCAGUGCAUUUAAAUUAGAGAAUAUAGACAUGUGCUUACUUGAUUCCUAACCCUGAACUCUUCUGCUUGGGAAUAAAAUCCCAUUGAAAUCAGUAGGGUUCAUUUCCAAGCAAAUGUGUUUAGACUGAGAGGACACUCCCUUUGACAUAAAUAAUUUCAAGAAGUCCAGACACUGUGACUCUUAAACUAUUGACUGAGAAACAUCUAGGCUGCAUGUUCUUUGGGAUUCACAGAGGAAGUUGGGGCUCACAUUCACUCUUUCACUAUAUGAGGGCCAUAUGAACUGGGGCAGAGACAAGCACACAAUGGGAGGGGAGGGGAGAGAGAGAGAGAGAGAGAGAGAGAGAGAGAGAGAGAGAGAGAGAGAGAGAGAUGGGCAAGGGAGGUAGCUUUCUAUGAUUCUUCUAUGAUCUGUUGAUGGGGUAGGUAGAAAUAUAAAGGGGAAAAGGAAAGAUUGUGCCAUCGCAGUAUGAGAUGAUGCCUUUGCCAUUGUGAUAUAGGUGACUACAAAUAAAUAUAUAUUUACUAGGCACAGCCUGGGAAGCACACCGAUGGGGAUUUGAACUAACAGCUUCUUGCUCCCGAGGCAAGCUGCUUCGCUGCUGCACCACCACAACUGAUAGGUAGAAAUAUACUAACCUCCUUAUACUAACUAAUGGAGGACAGGUCUAUCAAUGGCUACUAGUCUGGUGACUAUAGGUCACCUCCAACCUCAGAGGCAGAAUGCCUCUGAAUACCAGUUGCAGGGGAGUGACAGCAGGAGAGAGGGCAUGCCCUCAACUCCUGCCUGUAGGCUCCCAGUGGCAUCUGGUGUGAAACAGGAUGCUAGACUAGAUAGGCUUUGGGCCUGAUCUAGCAGGGUUGUUUUUAUGUUCUUAUGGUCUUAACUAUGGUUGCAGUUAGUUUCUAAUUGAUAGAUUUUCUCUCUCUCUCAAGGGAGAGACAAUAAAUACAAGUAGAGAGACCUGGAAUUCAUUACCAAAACAAUCCCAAAUAAAUAGAGAGGAACACACACCCAUUCCCACCCAGUUUGACUGCUGUUGAGUCCUUGUUCAGCUUUAGGUAUUUGGGGCACAUUUUUAAAAACCUUCCUGAAACUGAAAUGGAUGUUCACAGCUGUGUGAAAUGACAGACAGAUAUAUAUUUUGUUAGAUCACUGGCUCUCAAGGUUAUCAAUGUUGGUGUGGGCAGGGCAUGUUCCUACUAGGGCACAGGCAGGGGCAUCAUUAGGGGGUGGUCCAUGGGGCACAGGCCCCCAAUGAAUUUCUCAGAGCUCUAGAUCUCAUCAGUCACAUCCCUCCUCCAUUACCUCUUCCAGAAAGGAAGUGCAGCAGUGGAGGCAUUUGCACAGAUCAUGGGAAAGGGCUCCUAGUUUCAUCUAGCUCUCUGCUGCUUCAGAGGUGCUGUAUUAUAAUAUAAGAAACUUUUUUAAAAAAAACAAAACCCUGUAAUUAUGCUUGUGGGGAGGUAUGACUGGAUUUAGUUAUCAGAAGGGGGGUUGUGGGUCGUUUAAGUACUGUACCUAGCAACAUCCCUAGGCACAGGAUCAGAGUGGCUGACAUCCUGACUAACAAAGCACUUGCAGAAGGACAUUGUACUAGUGCAAAGCUGUUACACUUGUGCCAGAUCUGGAGCUUAUGUUCCAGACAAGUGUUGUCCUACCACAACCAUACUUGUGCGACAGUGUGCAACUGCAGUAGCAUGUCUCCAUUGCACAAAGAAUGAGGUGUCCAACCCCUCCCCUCUAGAUCAGCAUUCUAAAUAAAGCAAAACAAAAAUAUUACCAGCACUACAACCUUUCCUACUAACACCAUAUCAAAGGCUAAAUCCCUGUGUUUUUAGUGCAGCUAUGUGGUCUUCUUGUGCUACCACAAGGGUGCUAAUUACACAAAUGAUGCAUUCAUUAGGAUGCCAGUCACUGUGUUUUAUGUAAUGGCAGCUAGGAAGUUCAAGCUCUAGUAGAUGUUUCUUCCAACAGGGCUAACAGUAAUAUGGGUGGGAAGGAAGGAAGGAAGGAAGAUAAAAUGUUUGUCUGAACUACAGUGUAAUAGAACAAACUGCACACAUUUUGAUAGUUCUAUAAUUACAGUUAAUUAACAGGUAAGUUUUGCACUGGACAUGCAAGCAAUCUCUGUUGAUGGGUAGCAGUGUGAGCUGCAGGGUUCUUUCAGCCUAGGGCCCUGAGAUUUGUCAGCCUGUCCCCAAGUGAGAUAAGUGUUACCCCAGGCAGGGCUUCAACAGAAAACAUUCUGUGCCCCAGAUGCACUUUGAGUGUCCAGACUGUAACAAUAGGGCACAGCCAUAUUCUCUCCAGUAAUUUCUCAGGAAAAAGAUGCAAGAUCAUGAUGUUGCUUCCUUUCCUGGUGCAUUAUAGGGUGAAACCAGGAAAGGAAAGGUGACAAUUUUAAAGGCUGCCACAGCAGCCGUUUCCAUGACAGAAGCUGGAUCUUCAUUAAAGGCCAAGUGCUUCAGCAUUAGGAAUAUAGGAAGAACCCUUCUAGAUAAGACCAAAGUCUGUCUAAUCCAGCAUCCUGCUCCCAACAGUAUCCAGAUCUGCUUGUGGGAAGUUCCUAAGCAAUGUAUGAACGAAGGCAAUAGCCCUAUUUCAUUUUUCCCCCCCCACACAAUUGGAGGUUGCAUAGAGCUAUCAUGGCUAAUAGCUACUGAAAGAACCAUCUUCCAUGACUAUAUGUCUACUCUCCAGCCAUCUGAACCAAUGUCCACCAUCACAGCCUAUGACAGUGAAUUCCUUAUGUUAAAUUAUGUGCUGUGUGAAGUUUUUGCUGUUGUGGUUAUUGUUUUUGGACUAUCUUGAACCUAUCUACACUCAAUUUCAUAGGGGAUCCUGAAUUCUAGGACUAUGAAAAUGGAGGAAAAAAUCAUCUUACUCCUAUUUCUCCACACUGUUCUUAAAUGUAUUAAACCUCUAUCAAGUCCCCUUUGUCAUCCUUUUCCCCCCUAAACAGCCCCAAAUGCUGUACCCUUUUCCUACAUGAAUGUGCUCCAACACCAUGGUCAAUUGAUUGUCCUUUUCUGUCUUUCUUUCAGUAAGAUAUUCUUUUUAAAGUGACCGGAAUUAUAAACAAUAUUUUGAAUGCAACUAUACUAUUUUUUUACAUAAAGGCAGACCUGAUUAGCUUAGCCUGUGGCAGCUUCUACGAGAAAUCAAAAUAUGCAUAGUUCAUUCUCCUUUCUCACUUCUUUGUGGGAAAUUAAGACAAAAGUUGGGGUGGAGACAGAAGAAUGCCUGCAUCAGUAUAUCUGCAUUAUAGGGACAGAAGCAUGCCUGUAUCAGUAUAUCUGCAUUAUAAUUCCUCCGAGAUACAGAUGUUCAUGGUAAAAUUGGUAUAGGGGGCAUACAAGAAAAUAAAUUUGUUUCAUUAUCAA